GAUGAACGCUAGCGGCAGGCUUAAUACAUGCAAGUCGAGGGGCAGCAGGGGUGUAGCAAUACAUCUGCUGGCGACCGGCAAACGGGUGCGGAACACGUACGCAACUUACCCAUAACUGGGGGGAUAGCCCGGGGAAACCCGGAUUAAUACCUCGUAAGAUAAUGGAGUGGCAUCACUUUAUUAUUAUAGCUCCGGCGGUUAUGGAUGGGCGUGCGGCUGAUUAGGUAGUUGGGCGGGUAACGGCCCACCAAGCCUGCGAUCAGUAACUGGUGUGAGAGCACGACCAGUCACACGGGCACUGAGACACGGGCCCGACUCCUACGGGAGGCAGCAGUAAGGAAUAUUGGUCAAUGGACGCAAGUCUGAACCAGCCAUGCCGCGUGAAGGAUGAAGGUCCUCUGG
This 402-nucleotide ribosomal RNA is filed under the name uncultured bacterium. RNAcentral describes it as "bacterial SSU rRNA". It matches the Rfam family "Bacterial small subunit ribosomal RNA", at positions 28 to 422 of the family's 1533-position model. The record is from RNAcentral.